RNAcentral lists this ribosomal RNA (562 nucleotides) under uncultured Actinomycetes bacterium. RNAcentral's name for it is "bacterial SSU rRNA". The stretch from base 1 to 385 matches the Rfam family "Bacterial small subunit ribosomal RNA", at positions 499 to 873 of the family's 1533-position model. Lineage: Bacteria; Bacillati; Actinomycetota; Actinomycetes. The record is from RNAcentral.
AACUAUGUGCCAGCAGCCGCGGUAAUACAUAGGGUGCAAGCGUUGUCCGGAAUUAUUGGGCGUAAAGAGCUCGUAGGUCGUUUGUCACGUCGGAUGUGAAAACCUGAGGCUCAACCUCAGGCCUGCAUUCGAUACGGGCAAACUAGAGUUUGGUAGGGGAGACUGGAAUUCCUGGUGUAGCGGUGGAAUGCGCAGAUAUCAGGAGGAACACCAAUGGCGAAGGCAGGUCUCUGGGCCAAUACUGACACUGAGGAGCGAAAGUCUGGGGAGCGAACAGGAUUAGAUACCCCUGGUAGUCCAGACCGUAAACGGUGGGCACUAGUUGUGGGGAACCCUUCCACGGUUUUCUUGCGACGCCAGCUAACCGCAUUUAAAGUGGCCCCCCGCCUUGGGGGAAGUACCGAAUCCGCAAAGAAUUUAAAAACCUUCAAAAGGGAAUUUGACCGGGGGCCCCCGCACAAAGCCAGCGGGAGCCAUUGCCGGCUUCAAUUUCGACGCAACCGCCGAAAGAAACCCUUACCAAGGGCUUUGACAUUAUUAGGGGAAAAAGUGGGGCCAGAGA